CCCCACGCUUACCCAGGCCAGAUCGGAGACCAAGACCAGGCCGGAGGUGACCGCCCGCUGAGGCUCUUCCUUCCCUGAGGUGGCUACGUGUGUCAAAGUGCUGACCCCCUCCACCAUGACCUGACCCGCACGAACACCGCCAACGGACCACGGACAACUCCCAUCUUAUGCUUUCAUUGUAUUUACUCCUCAAUAAAGGCAUGCAGUUCUCCCGCUA
Long non-coding RNA from Eriocheir sinensis (Chinese mitten crab), 217 nucleotides. RefSeq lists it as uncharacterized. The record is from RefSeq and is a predicted model, not a curated record. Lineage: Eukaryota; Metazoa; Arthropoda; Malacostraca; Decapoda; Varunidae. The transcript has 2 exons.